CAGGUGGAGGGGGAAGAAAGGACAAUGCCAAAGAGGAUGGGAGACUCGGGAACAGGUUGGCAGGUGCCUAGGACUUGGAGAUGAAUGGAAGAUGAUGAUGAAGAGAACCAAAGGGCUGGCCCCGUUUGACCUCUUCUCUAGCCUAGCACUCCACUGCCUUGUAGACAAGUUUAGACUGGGGACUAACGGAAUUACAUAGGGAGGUCAGCAGGGUCCUGGAUGCCAGGACAAAGUGUUAUGACUUCAAACAAAAAGCUAACGCCUCACAUUAUGAAGGUAUGCUUACCCUCAUAUAGGCAGGAACCAGAUGAGAAACAUCAGUGCUCAACUGUGGACAUUGUAUUGUUUGAGCUAAGGCCCCACUACUUAAUCUGGCUAAGCCAUGUUAACCCUCACAGCUGGCCCCUGUUGCUAAACAAGGGCUAUGUCCUAGGAGUUUGUAAAGAUUGGAUGAGAUCAUGGAUGUCAAAGAUCUUUGUCAACUACCAAAUACUAUUUACAUCAGUCUUUUUGAAGUAGGAGCUAGAUUUCUGAAGCGAAGUCUGUCUUUACUAUUACCUAUCUGCCUCUGAUAUGCACAGAGAUCAGUCGUCUGAGAGGUGCCAGGCCUGGAGACUUGAGCAGCUGGCUGUUGACAGGCUGAGGGCAACAUGGUGCCUACCUCAAGAGCAGUGUCUGCCCCCAGCCUGGCAAGCCAUCCUGUCACCCUUAUUCUUAGGGAAACUGCUCUCUGCUGAGACAUCGUGUCUCUUGGUUCUACCAGCUUCUAGUCACCACCAAGCUGUCACUGUGUCCCUCAGCUUUGGGGAGACUAAUACCAGGAGGCAGAAUGUGAGGAUGAAGCAGCAGUCUCAAAGCAGCUUGAUGGGUGCUGUUUCUAGUUUUGUCUAAGCUGAAUCGACCCACUUAAACAGGGGAGGAGCCUUGUCCCCCUCAAGGGACAGAGGUCAAACCACUGAACAAGAAGGCCUCAUGGUGCACACCUGCCAUCCCAGUUACUUGGGAGGGAAGAGGAUGCCAAGCUCAAAGCCAGCCUGCAUUAGAGUGACUUUCUAGCCAGUGUAGAAUACUAGUGAGGUAUGACCCCAAAAGCAAAAGGGGUGGGGAUAGCUCAGUGGUAGAAUGCUUACCUAGCAUGCCUGAGGCUCAAGGUUUAACCCCUGGCACUGAAGAAGUCAAGGGGAGUAGCUUAAGACUCUGGGCCCACUCAAACCUCCUAAGCCAGGAUAGGUCUAAACUUAAGCACUGAACCCCUAAGGUAGCAGAACGCAGACCGCAGUUCUGGAAUUUGAAAGGCUCCUGUGCCACAGGGCAGCCCACCCUGAGAGCCCAGAACCAAAUUCCUGCCUCAACCAUCUUUUGGCUCAAAGGAAGAAUGUGACUCUAGCACUUUGCCUGUCUGGGCUGCUGGGCAGCAGCUAAUACAUGUCCCGGUACCACAAGAUGAGGGGGAUGGAAAAGUAACUCCCAGGUGGGGGAAGCUGCAACAAGACCCGUCGUGCCCCCCACGGUUGUUAGUGGCUGUGUCUUUCACUUCCUGUGAGAUUGACAGUUGGGGCCCAGAAGGUGUGGGACUCCAGCAGCCCCAGUGUGGUUAUUUGUACAGACUCUUGCCUCCCCUCCCCACAACUGUUUCCAUUCUCACCACACAGUCACAUCCGGGUCAUGUACGCAGAGCAGCAGCUGGGGCUUUCCAGGGGACUUCUGAAAAGGCCAGUGAAAGCAGAGGCGUUGACUGCACAGGCUCAGCUCCUGGGAAACUUUCUUUCCCUCCAGGAGAGCCUCAGGCACGUUCCCAACACUGCACAGGCCAGGAUAGGAGGACAGGAAAGACACUUACUGACGCGCUGCCACUUGGAGACCCAGCUGUCCUCUGGACUCAUCAUCGCGAUGAUUCUAGAGAGGGAGGACGAAGAGUCAGCCUGAGCCUGCCCUGCCAGAGGGGCUGCUGAGCACAGCAGGAACAGCUCCAGGCAAGGCACCACUGAGGAAGGGAGUGACAAAGGCCUUGCAGUCUAUGUCCAGCCAGUAAGAAGAGCUUUACCUGUGGAUGUCCAGUACUGAAGACACCCAGCCCAAUCACGAGGGGGUCUGGAGCCUGGUACAAAGGAGUCAAAACAAUGGAUCCUUUUCCUGAAAGCAAA
Molecule: long non-coding RNA, 2144 nt
Organism: Rattus norvegicus (Norway rat)
Lineage: Eukaryota; Metazoa; Chordata; Mammalia; Rodentia; Muridae
Source: RefSeq, a predicted model, not a curated record